Molecule: ribosomal RNA, 301 nt
Filed under: uncultured bacterium
Lineage: Bacteria
Description: partial 16S ribosomal RNA
Rfam family: Bacterial small subunit ribosomal RNA
Source: RNAcentral
CAGUAGCCACGGUAAUACAGAGGGUGCGAGCGUUAAUCGGAUUUACUGGGCGUAAAGCGUGCGUAGGCGGCUUCUUAAGUCGGAUGUGAAAUCCCUGAGCUUAACUUAGGAAUUGCAUUCGAUACUGGGAAGCUAGAGUAUGGGAGAGGAUGGUAGAAUUCCAGGUGUAGCGGUGAAAUGCGUAGAGAUCUGGAGGAAUACCGAUGGCGAAGGCAGCCAUCUGGCCUAAUACUGACGCUGAGGUACGAAAGCAUGGGGAGCAAACAGGAUUAGAGACCCCGGUAGUCCCUGUCUCUUAUAA